GCCAUAAGAAAACCAGGUAAAUGUGAAGAGUGUUUUGUGACAUUUUUGAAAUAAUAAAACCAUUUAAUUUUUUUAACCUUGAUAAUACUAAUAUACACAAAGUGGAAGUAAAAUAUUUGGUCUCCUUUAUUAUAAGGUAUCAGGAAAGGUUUUACUGAGUUUGAAAGAUACAUAGGAAAUUAAACACAGAAGCCACAAAUACAAGCUUAAAUGUGAUGAUGCUUUUUUCUUUUUGCGAGAUUGGAAGACAUUUGUGUCUGGGUUUUUGUUUUGUUUUGUUUUGUUUUUCCCUUAAGAAGAGCUAUUUGAACCAGGAGUGGUUUUCAACAUACCAAACAGAUAAUUGCAUGGGUUUUAACCUAUCAAAAUGGUCAUGCGUUCAGUCAUAACAAUCAUGAUACCCUUAUUAGUGUGUGUCAGUGGAGUAACAGUCUUCCUUGCAUGUAGCUCAACCUUAGCUUUUAUCACCUUCCUCCAUGGUGCAACUAUUUCAUUGUUGUCUAAAACAUCUAUUUUAAUAAAAUUAAUAAGCUGUCUGCAAAAUUAUGAUACAGCUAUAGAAGCACAAGUUCUACUUCUAGGCUGUCACAGUUUUUUGGUCGCAUUGAAGAAUGUUCAUGAAUGAUUGGUUUGAUUAAUGUUAACGAGUUGAAACAUUUUAUGAUGUUUUUGUGGCUAGUUACACAUAAAUUGCUUUAAAUAUAUGUGUUCAUUUUGUUACUUUUACCUACUUUUAUUAUUUAUUAUAUGCUCAGAAAUUUGGUAGAGGGAAAAGCUAGUUUAAAAUUUCAUUUUUUUAUGUUUAGGCCAAGAUUGAAAAAUGUGGAUCGGAGUAGUGCUCAGCAUUUGGAAGUUACCGUUGGAGAUCUGACAGUCAUUAUUACAGACUUUAAGGAGAAAACAAAGUCACCGCCUGCAUCUAGUGCUGCUUCUGCAGAUCCACACAGUCAAAGCGGCUCUAGCUCUGAUAACACAGAGAGAGGAAUGUCCAGGUCAUCUUCACCCAGAGGAGAAGCCUCAUCAUUGAAUGGAGAAUCUCAUUAAAGUUUAUUUUCUCCAAUUUCUUAGUCACUUCUGUCCUACCAUGCAAAUACACAGAUUAUGCCAAGAGGUACCACAUUUUCAUGACAAAUACAUUCAUGCACAAUCCAUAAUUUGAGUUUUACAUAAAAUAGAAAUUUGUUAGAAUUUGUUAGAUUUUAUUGCAACUAUGCCUACCAAACAUUUCCAGACUUAACAUUUUGGUCUCUGCAGUUAAGUGCCAUGAAAAUGUGGUUGAAUUAUUCAUUAUGCAGUGUUAUUGGUAAGUGUAUUUUCACUUUUAGUUUAGUGAAUUCUAACACAUAAUUCUUGAAUUCUCUACUAUUGGCAUGUAACGAAUUUAAAUUUUUUAUAACAUAGUGCAAGCUGCCUAAAUAUGUAUUAUUUGAGAAUUGUGAAACAGAUAGUUAUAUGUAUACAAGUCAAAGAACAACUUAACUAUUGCUGCAACAGGUUUUUCUUAAUGGUUAUCCUCUUAAAUACACCUGCUGGUACUUGGUGUGGUUAAAUAGGAAAAUUGUUAUUAAAUAAAGAAUUUGUAUGAACCUUU
Molecule: small RNA, 1591 nt
Filed under: Pongo abelii (Sumatran orangutan)
Lineage: Eukaryota; Metazoa; Chordata; Mammalia; Primates; Hominidae
Description: retained intron
Source: RNAcentral